RNAcentral lists this transfer RNA (66 nucleotides) under Gryllus bimaculatus (two-spotted cricket). Its description in RNAcentral is "tRNA-Leu". Lineage: Eukaryota; Metazoa; Arthropoda; Insecta; Orthoptera; Gryllidae. The record is from RNAcentral.
UACUAAUAUGGCAGAAAAGUGCGAUGAAUUUAAGCUUCAUUAAUAAAGAAUUCCUUUUUUUAGUAU